GAUGAACGCUAGCGGCAGGCCUAAUACAUGCAAGUCGAACGGUAGACAUUCUUUCGGGGAUGUUGAGAGUGGCGCACGGGUGAGUAACGCGUAUGCAACCUACCCAAUACAGGGGGAUAGCCCGGAGAAAUCUGGAUUAAUAUCCCAUGGUAUCAUUUUAUCGCAUGAUUUUAUGAUUAAAGAUUUUAUCGGUAUUGGAUGGGCAUGCGUCUGAUUAGCUAGUUGGAGGUGUAACGGACCCCCAAGGCGACGAUCAGUAGGGGUUCUGAGAGGAAGGUCCCCCACACUGGCACUGAGAUACGGGCCAG
RNAcentral lists this ribosomal RNA (308 nucleotides) under uncultured bacterium. Its description in RNAcentral is "bacterial SSU rRNA". It matches the Rfam family "Bacterial small subunit ribosomal RNA", at positions 28 to 334 of the family's 1533-position model. The record is from RNAcentral.